Molecule: ribosomal RNA, 522 nt
Filed under: Cupriavidus pinatubonensis
Lineage: Bacteria; Pseudomonadati; Pseudomonadota; Betaproteobacteria; Burkholderiales; Burkholderiaceae
Description: bacterial SSU rRNA
Rfam family: Bacterial small subunit ribosomal RNA
Source: RNAcentral
UGGAGAGUUUGAUCCUGGCUCAGAUUGAACGCUGGCGGCAUGCCUUACACAUGCAAGUCGAACGGCAGCACGGGCUUCGGCCUGGUGGCGAGUGGCGAACGGGUGAGUAAUACAUCGGAACGUGCCCUGUCGUGGGGGAUAACUAGUCGAAAGAUUAGCUAAUACCGCAUACGACCUGAGGGUGAAAGCGGGGGACCGAAAGGCCUCGCGCGAUAGGAGCGGCCGAUGUCUGAUUAGCUAGUUGGUGGGGUAAAAGCCUACCAAGGCGACGAUCAGUAGCUGGUCUGAGAGGACGAUCAGCCACACUGGGACUGAGACACGGCCCAGACUCCUACGGGAGGCAGCAGUGGGGAAUUUUGGACAAUGGGGGCAACCCUGAUCCAGCAAUGCCGCGUGUGUGAAGAAGGCCUUCGGGUUGUAAAGCACUUUUGUCCGGAAAGAAAUCCCCUGCCCUAAUACGGCGGGGGGAUGACGGUACCGGAAGAAUAAGCACCGGCUAACUACGUGCCAGCAGCCGCGGUA